AAAGUGCGAUAACUAGUGUGAAUUGCAUUACUUUGUGAAUCAUCGAGUCUUUGAACGCAUCUUGCACUCUUUGGUAUUCCAGAGAGUAUGCCUGUUUGAGUAUCAUAAACAACAAUCACCAGUACACCUGUGGGUGUUAGUUUGGUGGACUUGACGGUGAGUUUUUUUAGCUAUCCGUUGAAAAGCAGUGACUUCUGGGCAAUUGACCAGUGUGGUGGUGAGCCGUGGCUCUCUUUAUUCAGCGCUGUAAUCUUUAGUCUGGAAGCAUUGAGGGUAACCUCACAAAGCCAGCCUUUGGGUGUGGUUUGAACCGUGAUCUCAAAUCAGGCAAGACUACCCGCUGAACUUAA
Molecule: unclassified non-coding RNA, 350 nt
Filed under: uncultured Mucor
Lineage: Eukaryota; Fungi; Mucoromycota; Mucoromycetes; Mucorales; Mucoraceae
Description: sequence contains ITS1
Rfam family: 5.8S ribosomal RNA (bases 1-105)
Source: RNAcentral